GGUCUGUGUUCGGAAAAGGGAGGGCACACCCUGUUUCUACAUCGGGAUAGGCGGAGGCGAAGGACCGAGAAGGUGCCGGAUGAGUCUGGCUCCGUAGCCCAAGCUGGUAUGGAAUUCACUAUAUAUUCAUAGUGUAGACCAGGAUGGACUUGAACUUUCAGUGUUCCUCUAAUCUCAACUUCCAAAAUGCUGACAUUACAGAGAUGUGCCACUGUACCUGAUGAAAGCUGUAGUUUAUGUUGACACAACUCAGUAAUAU
Molecule: long non-coding RNA, 259 nt
Organism: Arvicanthis niloticus (Nile rat)
Lineage: Eukaryota; Metazoa; Chordata; Mammalia; Rodentia; Muridae
Source: RefSeq, a predicted model, not a curated record